UGUUUCGGCUAGGGGGCCAUCCCGGCUUACCAACCCGAUGCAAACUGCGAAUACCGGAGAAUGUUAUCACGGGAGACACACGGCGGGUGCUAACGUCCGUCGUGAAGAGGGAAACAACCCAGACCGCCAGCUAAGGUCCCAAAGUCAUGGUUAAGUGGGAAACGAUGUGGGAAGGCCCAGACAGCCAGGAUGUUGGCUUAGAAGCAGCCAUCAUUUAAAGAAAGCGUAAUAGCUCACUGGUCGAGUCGGCCUGCGCGGAAGAUGUAACGGGGCUAAACCAUGCACCGAAGCUGCGGCAGCGACACUUUAGUGUUGUUGGGUAGGGGAGCGUUCUGUAAGCCGUUGAAGGUGUCCUGUGAGGGGUGCUGGAGGUAUCAGAAGUGCGAAUGCUGACAUAAGUAACGAUAAAGCGGGUGAAAAGCCCGCUCGCCGGAAGACCAAGGGUUCCUGUCCAACGUUAAUCGGGGCAGGGUGAGUCGACCCCUAAGGCGAGGCCGAAAGGCGUAGUCGAUGGGAAACGGGUUAAUAUUCCCGUACUUGGUGUUACUGCGAAGGGGGGACGGAGAAGGCUAUGUUGGCCGGGCGACGGUA
RNAcentral lists this ribosomal RNA (591 nucleotides) under Salmonella enterica. RNAcentral describes it as "partial 23S ribosomal RNA". It matches the Rfam family "Bacterial large subunit ribosomal RNA", at positions 911 to 1503 of the family's 2925-position model. Lineage: Bacteria; Pseudomonadati; Pseudomonadota; Gammaproteobacteria; Enterobacterales; Enterobacteriaceae. The record is from RNAcentral. RNAcentral also lists the same sequence under 3 other names.